ACCGAGGAAGGCGAUUAUCGAACCAAGUUGCGUAACCUCAAACGAUUCCUGGAACAAGGAAACAAAGCCAAGGUGACCUUGUGGUUUCGGGGUCGUGAAAUGGCACAUCAGGAUCUGGGUAUGCAGCUUCUCAAGCGGAUAGAAGCGGACUUGGAAGAGGUGGGGAAGGUUGAGCAGUUCCCCAAAUUGGAGGGGCGGCGUCUCUCUAUGGUGCUGUCACCGAAGAAAUAGAUCUGCCGAAAUUGCUCCAAGAAUCAUCCCGUGCGUAUGCUGUCGCUACCGACAACCCAACCCAACCCAAAACAAAAUGCAUAUCGAGUGACGUA
RNAcentral lists this unclassified non-coding RNA (326 nucleotides) under Candidatus Kentrum sp. LFY. RNAcentral's name for it is "Candidatus Kentron sp. LFY Long range pseudoknot". Lineage: Bacteria; Pseudomonadati; Pseudomonadota; Gammaproteobacteria. The record is from RNAcentral.